RNAcentral lists this ribosomal RNA (458 nucleotides) under uncultured bacterium. Its description in RNAcentral is "partial 16S ribosomal RNA". It matches the Rfam family "Bacterial small subunit ribosomal RNA", at positions 30 to 507 of the family's 1533-position model. The record is from RNAcentral.
AGCGAACGCUGGCGGCAGGCUUAACACAUGCAAGUCGAACGCAUCCUUCGGGGUGAGUGGCAGACGGGUGAGUAACACGUGGGAACGUACCCUUCGAUCUGGGAUAACUUCGGGAAACUGGAGCUAAUACCGGAUACGCCCUGUUGGGGAAAGGUUUACUGUCGAAGGAUCGGCCCGCGUCGAACUAGCUAGUUGGUGGGGUAACGGCCUACCAAGGCGACGAUCAGUAGCUGGUCUGAGAGGAUGAUCAGCCACACUGGGACUGAGAAAAGGCCCAGACUCAGAGGGGAGGCAGAAGUGGGGAAUAUUGGAGAAGGGGCGAAAGCGGGAUGCAGGAAUACCGCGGGGGUGAAGAAGGACUUCGGGUGGGAAAGCAAGGUUGGUGGGAAAGAAAAGCAGCAGGUUAAUACCGCGCUGUUCUGACGGUACCCAAAGAAUAAGCACCGGCUAACUUCGUG